CAGCAGGUGAAUGAGAAGAAAGCAGCUGUCAGGUUCGCGAUGACUCUUUUCCAUGUGAGGAAACUGGAGGACAGAAGAAGCUGCUCUGUGUUCCUCUCAGUCCGUCUCUCAGGUCUGAACAAGACGAAGUGUUUUCCUGUCUGACUGAAGCGAAGCUGUUUCCUGGAAUCACUUCUUGUUUGCUCAACAUGAGAAAAGGAGGAGCCAGAAACAUUUCAGUAUGAAAGAAAAAAGUAUUUCAGCAUGAAAACAGAUGCACUUCAGGAUAAAUUUUGUUUUAUUGUGUUAAUAUUGUUUAAAGAAAUAAGCAUUUUAGAAAACGUAAAUAUUCCGUUGGGACAAAUGAGUCGUUCUACAUUUAUAUGAAAAUCCUCUGAACUUCUGGACUCAAAUGAUGCUUUUGAGCUGCAGACUUUUUAAAAAACUAUACGUAUUUGUUUCAAUUCUAUUGUGAAUAAAACCAAUAUUUUUUUUAAGUCCUGUG
Molecule: long non-coding RNA, 484 nt
Organism: Salarias fasciatus (jewelled blenny)
Lineage: Eukaryota; Metazoa; Chordata; Actinopteri; Blenniiformes; Blenniidae
Exons: 2
Source: RefSeq, a predicted model, not a curated record